AUCGCUUCUCGGCCUUUUGGCUAAGAUCAAAGUGUAGUAUCUGUUCUUAUCAGCUUAAUUUCAUUGAAUUUCUUAUUAUAAAGAUAAAUUUCCCCCAUUAACCCUU
Molecule: small nuclear RNA, 106 nt
Filed under: Diaphorina citri (Asian citrus psyllid)
Lineage: Eukaryota; Metazoa; Arthropoda; Insecta; Hemiptera; Psyllidae
Description: U2 spliceosomal RNA
Rfam family: U2 spliceosomal RNA
About the family: U2 is a small nuclear RNA (snRNA) component of the spliceosome (involved in pre-mRNA splicing). Complementary binding between U2 snRNA (in an area lying towards the 5' end but 3' to hairpin I) and the branchpoint sequence (BPS) of the intron results the bulging out of an unpaired adenosine, on the BPS, which initiates a nucleophilic attack at the intronic 5' splice site, thus starting the first of two transesterification reactions that mediate splicing.
Source: Rfam by way of RNAcentral